CAGCAGCCGCGGGAAUACGGAGGGUGCAAGCGUUAAUCGGAAUUACUGGGCGUAAAGCGCACGCAGGCGGUUUGUUAAGUCAGAUGUGAAAUCCCCGAGCUUAACUUGGGAACUGCAUUUGAAACUAGCAAGCUAGAGUCUUGUAGAGGGGGGUAGAAUUCCAGGUGUAGCGGUGAAAUGCGUAGAGAUCUGGAGGAAUACCGGUGGCGAAGGCGGCCCCCUGGACAAAGACUGACGCUCAGGCGCGAAAGCGUGGGGAGCAAACAGGAUUAGAUACCCCGGUAGUCCCUGUCUCUUAUAA
RNAcentral lists this ribosomal RNA (301 nucleotides) under uncultured bacterium. Its description in RNAcentral is "partial 16S ribosomal RNA". It matches the Rfam family "Bacterial small subunit ribosomal RNA", at positions 509 to 809 of the family's 1533-position model. The record is from RNAcentral.